UCCUGGCUUAGGACGAACGCUGGCGGCGUGCCUAAUACAUGCAAGUCGAACGGUCUUUCUAUGGAAGCUUGCUUCCACUGAGAAGAUAGUGGCGAACGGGUGAGUAACACGUGGGUAACCUGCCCAUAAGAGGGGGGAUAACAUCCGGAAACGGGUGCUAAUACCGCAUAGUUUCUUGAUCGCAUGAUCGGGAAAGGAAAGACGGCCUUUGUGCUGUCGCUUAUGGAUGGACCCGCGGCGUAUUAGUUAGUUGGUGAGGUAAUGGCUCACCAAGACGAUGAUACGUAGCCGACCUGAGAGGGUGAUCGGCCACAUUGGGACUGAGACACGGCCCAAACUCCUACGGGAGGCAGCAGUAGGGAAUCUUCCGCAAUGGACGAAAGUCUGACGGAGCAACGCCGCGUGAGUGAAAGAAGGUUUUCGGAUCGUAAAACUCUGUUGUCAGAGAAGAACAAGUUGGAGAGUAACUGCUCCAGCCUUGACGGUAUCUGACCAGAAAGCCACGGCUAACUACGUGCCAGCCGCCGC
This 528-nucleotide ribosomal RNA is filed under the name uncultured bacterium. RNAcentral describes it as "bacterial SSU rRNA". It matches the Rfam family "Bacterial small subunit ribosomal RNA", at positions 17 to 518 of the family's 1533-position model. The record is from RNAcentral.